RNAcentral lists this ribosomal RNA (253 nucleotides) under uncultured bacterium. RNAcentral's name for it is "partial 16S ribosomal RNA". It matches the Rfam family "Bacterial small subunit ribosomal RNA", at positions 100 to 353 of the family's 1533-position model. The record is from RNAcentral.
GGACGGGUGAGUAAUGCCUAGGAAUCUGCCCAUUAGCGGGGGACAACGUGUGGAAACGCACGCUAAUACCGCAUACGCCCUACGGGGGAAAGCAGGGGACUCUUUUAGAGCCUUGCACUAAUGGAUGAGCCUAGGUCGGAUUAGCUAGUUGGUGGGGUAAAGGCCUACCAAGGCGACGAUCUGUAGCGGGUCUGAGAGGAUGAUCCGCCACACUGGGACUGAGACACGGCCCAGACUCCUACGGGAGGCAGCA